Molecule: ribosomal RNA, 253 nt
Filed under: uncultured bacterium
Lineage: Bacteria
Description: partial 16S ribosomal RNA
Rfam family: Bacterial small subunit ribosomal RNA
Source: RNAcentral
UACGUAGGGUGCAAGCGUUAAUCGGAAUUACUGGGCGUAAAGCGUGCGCAGGCGGUUGUGCAAGACAGAUGUGAAAUCCCCGGGCUCAACCUGGGAAUUGCAUUUGUGACUGCACGGCUAGAGUGUGUCAGAGGGGGGUAGAAUUCCACGUGUAGCAGUGAAAUGCGUAGAGAUGUGGAGGAACACCGAUGGCGAAGGCAAUCCCCUGGACCUGUACUGACGCUCAUGCACGAAAGCGUGGGGAGCGAACAGG